This 467-nucleotide ribosomal RNA is filed under the name uncultured bacterium. Its description in RNAcentral is "partial 16S ribosomal RNA". It matches the Rfam family "Bacterial small subunit ribosomal RNA", at positions 28 to 506 of the family's 1533-position model. The record is from RNAcentral.
GACGAACGCUGGCGGCGUGCUUAACACAUGCAAGUCGAACGGAAAGGCCCUGCUUUUGUGGGGUGCUCGAGUGGCGAACGGGUGAGUAUCACGUGAGUAACCUGCCCUUGACUUUGGGAUAACUUCAGGAAACUGGGGCUAAUACCGGAUAGGAGCUCCUGCUGCAUGGUGGGGGUUGGAAAGUUUCGGCGGUUGGGGAUGGACUCGCGGCUUAUCAGCUUGUUGGUGGGGUAGUGGCUUACCAAGGCUUUGACGGGUAGCCGGCCUGAGAGGGUGACCGGCCACAUUGGGACUGAGAUACGGCCCAGACUCCUACGGGAGGCAGCAGUGGGGAAUAUUGCACAAUGGGCGGAAGCCUGAUGCAGCAACGCCGCGUGCGGGAUGACGGCCUUCGGGUUGUAAACCGCUUUCGCCUGUGACGAAGCGUGAGUGACGGUAAUGGGUAAAGAAGCACCGGCUAACUACGU